Molecule: microRNA, 16 nt
Filed under: Corchorus capsularis
Lineage: Eukaryota; Viridiplantae; Streptophyta; Magnoliopsida; Malvales; Malvaceae
Description: sRNA CCACVL1_17329
Source: RNAcentral
CUGCUGAACUGAUCCA